This 618-nucleotide long non-coding RNA is filed under the name Scleropages formosus (Asian bonytongue). Its description in RNAcentral is "lncRNA (ENSSFOG00015029718.1)". Lineage: Eukaryota; Metazoa; Chordata; Actinopteri; Osteoglossiformes; Osteoglossidae. The record is from RNAcentral.
GUCAUCAUGGUGCUCAUUGGCUCCAGCUUUCAGAGGCUGUGCGAGGUGUUGGAGGGUUUUGGUCAGAAGGCAGAAACACAAAGCCCACCAGGGGUACAGAGUGUCGACCUGAGACACAUCAGCCUUGAGCUGGAUGGCCAACUGGAGCAGAUUGAGAGCUCCCUGUGGGACAACUGGUUCUGGAACCUGAUCCUGGAUGAUGAUACUACUGAAGAUGAAGAAGAGAGCGAGGAAGAGGAGGAAGAAGAGGAGGAAGAAAGCUCAAGGAGGGAGGCAGAGGAGACAGGUGCCCAGGAGGGACUGGGGGGGUACAGACACAGGAAGUCAAGCAAGAAAAACUUCCUAAUUCAAAGAAAGGAGAAGAUGAGAGGAAGAUCAGAGAAGACAGCAAGGUGGGAGAAGAAUGAGGAGCUCAGUGAAUUGACAAGAGAGCAUAAGGUGAGGGAAAAGAAGGUAAGAUUGCAGAGAUCUGAGGAAGAUGAAGACCUUGGAGAGGAUGAGGAAGAAUCACCCAAAGGGAAGAGGCAGAGUGCAGAGGCAGAGAGAUGGCAGAAGCGAAAGAAACAGCUGCUGCAGGUGAAGAAGGUGCCCAUUAGAGGCCACAGACACAACCUGUGA